This is a non-coding RNA of Candidatus Glassbacteria bacterium GWA2_58_10, 172 nucleotides long. The record is from Rfam. Lineage: Bacteria; Candidatus Glassiibacteriota.
GACACCCCGUCUGUACGUGAUUAACAAAUUGAUCCUACAAUAUACCAAUGGGAGCUUUCUCUGAAAGCCGACCUCAUGCCCCAGCGGUAAACGGGGACCUGGGAAUCUUUCAGGAAGCACCCACCCUGAUGUUAAGGGGUUCAAUAUGUUACUCACGCGCGGCGGGGUUUUU